Molecule: ribosomal RNA, 730 nt
Filed under: uncultured bacterium
Lineage: Bacteria
Description: bacterial SSU rRNA
Rfam family: Bacterial small subunit ribosomal RNA
Source: RNAcentral
CAGGGAUUAGAUACCCUGGUAGUCCACGCUGUAAACGAUGUCGACUUGGAGGUUGUGCCCUUGAGGCGUGGCUUCCGGAGCUAACGCGUUAAGUCGACCGCCUGGGGAGUACGGCCGCAAGGUUAAAACUCAAAUGAAUUGACGGGGGCCCGCACAAGCGGUGGAGCAUGUGGUUUAAUUCGAUGCAACGCGAAGAACCUUACCUACUCUUGACAUCCACGGAAUUCGCCAGAGAUGGCUUAGUGCCUUCGGGAACCGUGAGACAGGUGCUGCAUGGCUGUCGUCAGCUCGUGUUGUGAAAUGUUGGGUUAAGUCCCGCAACGAGCGCAACCCUUAUCCUUUGUUGCCAGCACGUAAUGGUGGGAACUCAAAGGAGACUGCCGGUGAUAAACCGGAGGAAGGUGGGGAUGACGUCAAGUCAUCAUGGCCCUUACGAGUAGGGCUACACACGUGCUACAAUGGCAUAUACAAAGAGAAGCGAACUCGCGAGAGCAAGCGGACCUCAUAAAGUAUGUCGUAGUCCGGAUUGGAGUCUGCAGCUCGACUCCAUGAAGUCGGAAUCGCUAGUAAUCGUAGAUCAGAAUGCUACGGUGAAUACGUUCCCGGGCCUUGUACACACCGCCCGUCACACCAUGGGAGUGGGUUGCAAAAGAAGUAGGUAGCUUAACCUUCGGGAGGGCGCUUACCACUUUGUGAUUCAUGACUGGGGUGAAGUCGUAACAAGGUAACC